This 342-nucleotide ribosomal RNA is filed under the name Bucephalus polymorphus. RNAcentral describes it as "eukaryotic LSU rRNA". It matches the Rfam family "Eukaryotic large subunit ribosomal RNA", at positions 49 to 369 of the family's 3401-position model. The record is from RNAcentral. Lineage: Eukaryota; Metazoa; Platyhelminthes; Trematoda; Strigeidida; Bucephalidae.
AGCGGAGGAAAAGAAACUAACCAGGAUUCCCCUAGUAACGGCGAGUGAACAGGGAAGAGCCCAGCACCGAAGCCUGUGGUCAUUUGGUCACUAGGCAAUGUGGUGUUUAGGUCAUCUCGCAGUGGUGCUGCCUCAUCCUAAGUCCAACACUGAGUACGGUUGUUUGGACAUGGCCCAAGGAGGGUGAAAGGCCCGUGGGGGUGGGGAUCACAGUGCUGCUAUGAGUAGACCUUGGAGUCGGGUUGUUUGUGAAUGCAGCCCAAAGUGGGUGGUAAACUCCAUCCAAGGCUAAAUACUGGCACGAGUCCGAUAGCAAACAAGUACCGUGAGGGAAAGUUGAAA